CAUUAAGAAGCUAACAAGGAAGCAUUAGCCUUUUAAGCUAAAUUUCGGUGACUACCACUCACCCUUAAUGA
Molecule: transfer RNA, 71 nt
Filed under: Chikila fulleri (Kuttal caecilian)
Lineage: Eukaryota; Metazoa; Chordata; Amphibia; Gymnophiona; Chikilidae
Description: tRNA-Lys
Source: RNAcentral